RNAcentral lists this unclassified non-coding RNA (285 nucleotides) under uncultured fungus. RNAcentral's name for it is "partial contains small subunit ribosomal RNA, internal transcribed spacer 1, and 5.8S ribosomal RNA". The stretch from base 1 to 73 matches the Rfam family "Eukaryotic small subunit ribosomal RNA", at positions 1759 to 1831 of the family's 1831-position model. Lineage: Eukaryota; Fungi. The record is from RNAcentral.
UCAAACUUGGUCAUUUAGAGGAAGUAAAAGUCGUAACAAGGUCUCCGUUGGUGAACCAGCGGAGGGAUCAUUAUAGAAGGGUCUUUGCCCUAUAACCACUGUGAACUAUACCUAUCUGUCUGUUGCUCCGGCGGGCGGCCCCUGGGAGGGACCACUGCCCGUUAGGUCGGGUGCCCGCCGGAGGACGCCUAAACUCUUCUGUACAGGUACCGUCUGAGUUAAACAAGAACUAUAAAAACUUUCAACAACGGAUCUCUUGGUUCUGGCAUCGAUGAAGAACGCAGC